CGAGCGACGCGGCCGAAAGCAACUGAAGUGAACCAUUGUGAAAAAACCCUGAGCAUCAUUGACCCUCGCACAAACUGCGACCCCUGGUGUUCUUAUCGAAAAAACGUUUUCAGGCAAAACAUUUACUGUACUGUUAUUAUAUAUAUUUUUUUUUUAACCGCAAACAUCAUGGCACCAUUGUCAAGACAGAAGUGGACUGCCCUGGUCGCUGUGCUAUAUAACGAGGAAACAGUCUAGAUGCCCUGCCGCCAUGCUGACUCUCACAGGCUCUACACUCACGUGAGACGUUGGGGCCAGUGCGAAAGUGGGUUGGUGAGAGGAAAUAUGCGAGAGAGCGGGCCUCAAAAGCAGCACGUGCCACACAAAUAAUAAUCUUAAAUUUACAUUCGGCCACACGAACUUCUGAAAAGAGGAAGCAAACUUGGGAGGGGUCUAAAGAAACACAGGAAGUGUGAAUAUUGUACAUGUGCGUACUGCAAAACAAACUACUGAUUGUGUCCUCUGUCCCUUGCUGACAUACAAACUUAACUGCAGAGAGAAGAAACAGCUGAGUGAAAGACAAAGACAACGUGUCUUUUGCAUGGCGAGGCUUUAUCAGGAGGAAAGAACAGGUGCUAUUAAUGACAUCAAAUGUUGGGGCCCCAAAUAUUGCAGGCUGGUAUUUGGCCAACUCCCAAAGAUGCCAGAAUGGAACAUUGCGGCAGUGAGAAAUGAUUGCCAAUCGGCAGGGUGAGGUGAUUAUUUAUCUGUCACAGAUGAACAAGUGACAUGGACAUUGUGUUCAUGGUGUGACAUUACAAUGUUGCUCGAAUUUCCAGUUGGGACGGUGUCUAUUAUACGCAGCCUACCCCUGAAGAUAUGAGGCCGGCAGGGUCAUAUGGGUCGCUGGUUUAUUGCAGAGCCGCCGUAUUAACUCAAUGGCUACAACAUUAGGUAUACCUCCACAAUUCAAUGAGAUCCAAUGCAACAGUUGUAUCAAAACUUUUACAAAGAUAACGAUGCUUGUGGUGUUACUUGACAAAAUUGUUGAUACAGUCUUGGAUCUCAUUGGAUUGUACAGUUGUACCUAAUGAAGUGGUCUGUAAGUGUAAAGAUGGACAACCAUUCACAUUUACAGCUAUAAAGUGUACCACUUCAGUAGUGUAAACAGAAAUCUACCCAUUUUCUGAACCACUUAUCCUCACUAGGGUCUCAGAUGAGUUAGAGCCUAUCCCAGCUGACUUUGAGCAAGAGGUGGGGUACACCCUGAACUGGUCGCUAGCCAAUCACAGGUCUUAAGCAUCUUGAGUGUAAUAAUAUCCUAAAUCAGUAUUUUUAGGGGGGGGUGUAAAUGAAAAGGACCAACUAUACAUUUGACCUUGUUGCUUACAAUCAUUCAAAAUGAAUACUCUUGACAAACAAAAAAAGAAAUCAUAGAAAUAAUUCCCGAAAGAAGACUGCUUUGGAGCCCGAAAAUGAAGAGAUGUCACGGAUGAUGCCAGACAUUCUGUGAUAACUGCUUUGCAAUAACAAAUCAUAGCCAGAACCUUAUCUACUGCAUAUACAAAAUUGAUAAGAAGAUGAUAAUCAUAAUCAUAAUGAUAAGAAACUGCUUGGAAGCGAAUGGACACGCCGAUGUUUUUGUAACCCCCGAUGAUUCCACAGAACAUCAGUAUUGAAGGCGUGGACAGAGCCACAGUCAAUGUGGAAAUAAGUUAUUAACAACAUCACAACACACAGAAUCUGAGACCCAUCCUUUCCAUAUUUCCCAUGAUAGUAUCGAUACAAACUGUAUUCUAAAAACAUGUUUUGAUAAACGUCUUCUUGAGGCUACUUGGCAAACACGGAUAUAAACAUAAAAUAAACAUUUCACGUGUCAUGUUCGGGGUGCAAUGGGUUCAGUCUGCUUUGAGAAAGGUGUGUGUAUAAAUAAACAAAGGAGUGGCAUCUUUACUGGCGGACCUUCACGAAAAAAGGGGAAGUGAGAGAAGCUAGAGGCAAAGGUGAAGAGGUGGCAAGAUUAGUUAGUUUAUAGAAUACUGUACUUGUGUUACACGAGGCAGGUGGCGACAAGAGCAAGGAGAAGGCCACUCAACACAAAUUCAGAAGUCAAGAAGUUUGGUUUCUUUAGUAAGGUUUUUUUUUAUGGUUAAUGACUUCACCUCUUGCUACAAUGAUAUUACAGGAGUUACAUCUGACACAAUCCAAUUAGAUCCAAUAAAAGACCUGCAUAAGACCUAAGUACGGCUAUGACCUAAAAUUCCUAUCACAGUAUAAAUUGAAUCCCGAAAUAACACAAAACUCAUUACGCCCCGUGUUAAAACGCCGCCCAGUGACACACUUGGGAGUCCGGCAUGAGUCACCCCGUCCACCACUGUAUAAGAACUUGAGCUGCCCAUUGACGUAGUUGCAUGAUUGGUCGGCAGUCACAUUAUGUCCCCACCAAUGAGUGUAAAUUGGCUUGUGUACUUAUUUUACAAUUAGAGUCCACAAUAACAUUUUGAAAGUGAGCCUCCUAAUGUGAUUUAUUUUUUAUUUUUUUUGUAAGCUACCAUUUUUCAUAAUGCAUGUACACACUGCUAUCUACAAUAGUGCUACUUGAUUGACAGUUAGCAGUUGAGGGGGGCGUGGUUUCAGCACAUUCAGCGGCCACGUUUGAGAGCGGAGAAAAUGGCUUGAUUUUUUUCCCCCAUUUUGAAGCCUCAUUUUAUACAACUGCUGAUUUUUUUUAUAUUUUAUAUUCGGCACGGUUGUUAACAACAAACUUCUCUGGGGUGUGUGAAAUUUCCAUCCAUCCAUCCAUUUUCUGUACCACUUUAUCCUCACAUGGGUCGCGGGCGUGCUGGAGCCUAUCCCAGCUAUCUUCGGGCGAGAGGCGGGGUACACCCUGAACUCCGGGCACUCCGGUUUCCUCCCAUAUCCCAAAAACAUGCAUUAAUUGGAGACUCUAAA
Long non-coding RNA from Phycodurus eques (leafy seadragon), 2931 nucleotides. RefSeq lists it as uncharacterized. NCBI's taxonomy places the organism in Eukaryota, Metazoa, Chordata, Actinopteri, Syngnathiformes, Syngnathidae. The record is from RefSeq and is a predicted model, not a curated record. The transcript has 3 exons.